Molecule: ribosomal RNA, 497 nt
Filed under: uncultured bacterium
Lineage: Bacteria
Description: partial 16S ribosomal RNA
Rfam family: Bacterial small subunit ribosomal RNA
Source: RNAcentral
GAUGAACGCUGGCGGCGUGCCUAAUACAUGCAAGUCGAGCGAACGGACGAGAAGCUUGCUUCUCUGAUGUUAGCGGCGGACGGGUGAGUAACACGUGGAUCACCUACCUAUAAGACUGGGAUAACUUCGGGAAACCGGAGCUAAUACCGGAUAAUAUUUUGAACCGCAUGGUUCAAAAGUGAAAGACGGUCUUGCUGUCACUUAUAGAUGGAUCCGCGCUGCAUUAGCUAGUUGGUAAGGUAACGGCUUACCAAGGCAACGAUGCAUAGCCGACCUGAGAGGGUGAUCGGCCACACUGGAACUGAGACACGGUCCAGACUCCUACGGGAGGCAGCAGUAGGGAAUCGUCCGCAAUGGGCGAAAGCCUGACGGAGCAACGCCGCGUGAGUGAUGAAGGUCUUCGGAUCGUAAAACUCUGUUAUUAGGGAAGAACAUAUGUGUAAGUAACUGUGCACAUCUUGACGGUACCGAAUCAGAAAGCCACGGCUAACUACGUG